Long non-coding RNA from Pezoporus flaviventris, 1286 nucleotides. RefSeq lists it as uncharacterized. The transcript has 5 exons. Lineage: Eukaryota; Metazoa; Chordata; Aves; Psittaciformes; Psittacidae. The record is from RefSeq and is a predicted model, not a curated record.
GCGGGGCUGGCUGGACCGGAGCAGCUCAGGCCACUGGCAGGGGAUCUGGGGACCCGCAGAGCGUUGGGGAGCCGCUUGGGUCGGGUGUUCCCUCAACGAGAGGUUGUGCCUGGGGAGCGGUCCGUGAGCCCAGCCGGAGCUUCCCAGCACAGCCCUUCCAAGGCAGCCCCUCUGCAGGAGGGAAGUUUGCUGCCGGUGGGACCGGUGUGUGCCGCAGUGCCAAAUCACCAUUUGGCUAUCGCCCCUUCUACGCAGAGCGAGCAUAGUGCAGUUCAGUUCCCUUCCGAUUUGUUCAGAGCUGCCGGAUAGCUGAAAAAAAAGUAGAAAUGCUUUAUUUUUUGAGGUAAAAUCUUGAGAUCUGAAAGAUGACAUCUACAGGUUUGAAUAUGUUGAAAGGAAUGUCAUCCAGCAACACUUAGUGCAGGCCUUUGUCACGGGAUGUGAAAAUACAACACUGCAGCUAGAUGCAGGGAUCCUGCUAGGGGUAUCACUCAUCUCCCCCAGAUUUCUUCUUAGUGUGAUAUCAAGGAAUGUGAGCAACUAUCUGUCGUGGUGAGCAGGAGCUGUGUUCUGGCUGGCUCUUCAGUACUUGGCUCCUAGCGAAGUAGAUGGCUGCAGAGAAGACAUAGAGCAAGUAGAGGACAUUACCCAGAGCGCUGAGCAGAGAUCUGGACUGUAGAAUCCAUCCUGCAGCACUGUGAGUCUGGAGCUAAACUAAGACAGAGGUUAUAGAACCUCCAUCCUCAAAGAUACUCAAACUCAGCUUAGAGGAAUGUGUCCCAAGUUGGCCUUCUGAGGAAGCAAUUGGACCAGAGACCUUCAGAGAUCCUCUCCAAUGUGAAUUAUUCUGUGGUUCUAUACCUUAAUGUGGUAACAUUGUGAUAUCACCAUUAGUGUAUUUACUACUUCAGAUGGCAUCCACAUACACAUCCUGCAGUCAGAGGUUUUCUCUAGAGUAAUGACAUUGUCAAGUUCAGAGAACACUCUGUGCUACCCUAAGGAAACUGAAGGCUGCCACUGUCUGAAUUUAAACUUAUUGAAAUGAACCUUCGAAGAAAACUUUACUUUUUUUGAAUUUGUUUACUUUAGGUGGAAGAUGUUUUGUUCUACUUCAGUUAACAUUAAAAAUGUGGAUCCUAGUGUCAACAGAAGACCUAACAUGGACUAGGCAUUAUUUUUGCUGAACAGUCCAUGGGCUUUUAUGUAAUUGGGAACUUUUUGGAGUUCUACUGUAAUUCCUUCUAAUGAAAUGGCUGGAUGGUUUUAUUAAGAUUUAAAACUCAUCU